Molecule: microRNA, 24 nt
Filed under: Bombyx mori (domestic silkworm)
Lineage: Eukaryota; Metazoa; Arthropoda; Insecta; Lepidoptera; Bombycidae
Description: bmo-miR-3318
Source: miRBase by way of RNAcentral
GGAUUUUACAUUUUUGCAUGUUGC